RNAcentral lists this ribosomal RNA (465 nucleotides) under uncultured bacterium. Its description in RNAcentral is "partial 16S ribosomal RNA". It matches the Rfam family "Bacterial small subunit ribosomal RNA", at positions 28 to 506 of the family's 1533-position model. The record is from RNAcentral.
GACGAACGCUGGCGGCGUGCUUAACACAUGCCAGUCGAACGGUAAGGCUCCAGCUUGCUGGGGUACACGAGUGGCGAACGGGUGAGUAACACGUGGGUGACCUGCCCUGCACUUCGGGAUAAGCCUGGGAAACUGGGUCUAAUACCGGAUAGGACCAUGGUGUGGAUACUGUGGUGGAAAGUUUUUUCGGUGUGGGAUGGGCCCGCGGCCUAUCAGCUUGUUGGUGGGGUAAUGGCCUACCAAGGCGGCGACGGGUAGCCGGCCUGAGAGGGUGGACGGCCACAUUGGGACUGAGACACGGCCCAGACUCCUACGGGAGGCAGCAGUGGGGAAUAUUGCACAAUGGGCGGAAGCCUGAUGCAGCGACGCCGCGUGGGGGAUGACGGCCUUCGGGUUGUAAACUCCUUUCACCAUCGACGAAGGGUUUCUGACGGUAGAUGGAGAAGAAGCACCGGCUAACUACGU